This is a long non-coding RNA of Frieseomelitta varia, 1306 nucleotides long. RefSeq lists it as uncharacterized. NCBI's taxonomy places the organism in Eukaryota, Metazoa, Arthropoda, Insecta, Hymenoptera, Apidae. The transcript has 2 exons. The record is from RefSeq and is a predicted model, not a curated record.
CGUCGAUAACGCGCGAAUCGCGUGUUGCCGACACGCGGAACAACGUGCGCCUACGUAUAAUUCAGGAUCUCCAAGUUAUUCGCAACAGAAUCUAAGAUCGACAGAUUGCAUGGUGCGCGAGGGACAGACGCGUUGCAUUGUACCGGCACGCAUGCACGCACGUACCAUGCACAAUUCAGGCAGCGCACACAACACCAACACCCCGACAAGACGUGAGACACGGACAUGGGUGCCUCUUUCUUUCGUGUAAAUCGAUGGGCACACUCGAUUUCACUGGCUUUCCCCGGUGGGCCUCUUUUUAUCGCGAAACACGUCACCGACGGUAGCUAUGGCUUUGCCAUGGUCUGAGGAUUACCAUGGGAUACGCACCUUCCGCACAGGGCCCUUGCCAGGGGCUGGCGAAUUUACAAUUUUCGGUCAAAAAAUCGUCGGGGCAUCAACCAAAGCAGAAUUUCAACAAUGGUGGCCGCUAGUGAGCGAGCCGCAUGCAAUGCUGACACCUUGCGGUGGCGGCGCGAAUUACGUUUCUAUCUUAUUCCCUCUUUCGUUAACCCCUUCUCGCUCAUUCGUUCACAGUACACAUCCUUCCUCAUGUAUGCACAAUCUUUUUUCCCCCCGAAUUCUCACUGCUAUUUUUUUUUUUUUUUUACUACUAUCCAAAUAUUUAGCAAUAAAAAUUUCAACUUAGAAACUCAGCUUAUUCUUUCAUCGUUUCUCAACUUGUAUUUCUCUGAAUGUAUUCUACAUUAAGCCGUUUAAUGAGAUCGUACGAAACAUACACAUACGUACGCAUUUUGAAUUUGUUUGUCAAAAGGAAAAUGUUACUAAAAAUAUUGCACUUUUGGUACUAGUAUCAUCGUUUCCGUUGAGAUAUAUCUAUUUGUCAAAGACAUACGUGAAAAAAAGCGUUGUUUGUAUCUUUUGUAAUUGUUCGUGAAAUAGAAUUUGAAAUGUGAUUAGUCAUUUCAACGUUAAACAUUUCGUGUUUAAAUUUAUUCUCUAUGGAAUUGAUUGUUGACGCUGUUAGAGUUAUUCGUAACGUCGUCAAAAAUAAUUGAGAACUAAAAGCCACCCUUAACACCGCCCAUAUUCGCGAUUUCUAUUCGCAAAAUUUUCUUUCAUUAAAAUUCUGCCCAUAUAUCCGACACGCCAUAUAUAAUGUAGAAGCGCGUGUGUGUACUUUACUUGAAAAACUAUGGAUCAUUGAUCCGUAACUUAAAAAUAAGUGAAACUCGAAGUUAUUGCCGAAAGUAAAAAAUUAUCGUUAGUGUGUUUGAAAAUUCAAUAUAUACUAUAAUUCAGAAAU